AACGUAGGUGGCGAGCGUUAUCCGGAUUUACUGGGCGUAAAGCGUGUGCAGUUGGGGCGGUAAGUGGUGUAUGAAAUCACUCAGCUUAACUGAGCGAGGUUAUGCCAGACUGCCGUUCUAGAGAACGGGAGAGGGACGUGGAAUUCCGGGUGUAGUGGUGAAAUGCGUAGAGAUCCGGAGGAACCCCUGAGGCGAAGGCGGCGUCCUGGCCCUAUCCUGACGCUGAGGCGCGAGAGCGUGGGGAGCAAACCGG
RNAcentral lists this ribosomal RNA (253 nucleotides) under uncultured bacterium. Its description in RNAcentral is "partial 16S ribosomal RNA". It matches the Rfam family "Bacterial small subunit ribosomal RNA", at positions 524 to 776 of the family's 1533-position model. The record is from RNAcentral.